This 274-nucleotide ribosomal RNA is filed under the name uncultured bacterium. Its description in RNAcentral is "partial 16S ribosomal RNA". It matches the Rfam family "Bacterial small subunit ribosomal RNA", at positions 523 to 796 of the family's 1533-position model. The record is from RNAcentral.
AUACGGAGGGUGCAAGCGUUAUUCGGAAUCACGGGGCGUAAAGGACGCGUAGGCGGGUUGGCAAGUCAGAUGUGAAAUCCUACAGCUUAACUGUAGAACUGCAUUUGAAACUGCUAACCUAGAGUAUGGGAGGGGGAGAUGGAAUUAGUGGUGUAGGGGUAAAAUCCGUAGAUAUCACUAGGAAUACCGAAAGCGAAGGCGAUCUCCUGGAACAUAACUGACGCUAAGGCGUGAAAGCGUGGGGAGCAAACAGGAUUAGAAACCCUUGUAGUCC